RNAcentral lists this long non-coding RNA (409 nucleotides) under Athene cunicularia (burrowing owl). Its description in RNAcentral is "lncRNA (ENSACUG00000009021.1)". Lineage: Eukaryota; Metazoa; Chordata; Aves; Strigiformes; Strigidae. The record is from RNAcentral.
UGAUCUUUUAUGUAACCGAAGGAUGAAAGAAACUUCUCAAGAAAAUCAGCUGCACUCGUAGCAUCUUGGGUGACCACAGAUGUUUAUGGACGAGUCAGUGGAAAAGCUCUCAAGUCAUGUAGAGGCAAUUAAAUUACCUCGAAAUUUAUUGCUGGAUAGAGUGUUUUGGAGCCAUCCAUCCGCUGAGACUCUGCUUUGAGGUGAACUUGAAAUGCCCAAUACAGAUUCUGCAACAAGUCACGGUGUCCCUCUCUCUCCCAUGAACAGUUGUGACCGCUUGGUUGUGAACAAAUUUAACUUCACUGACCAGCCUGCGUAGUACCCUUCCCCUGAUCACUGUCACAGCAGAGCUCGUCCCAAUGGGAGUAAUUUAUAAACCUGUUGAAUGAAAUAAAUGAAAUGAAUGAUG